UACGUAGGGGGCAAGCGUUGUCCGGAAUCAUUGGGCGUAAAGAGCGUGUAGGCGGCCCGAUAAGUCCGCUGUGAAAGUCAAGGGCUCAACCCUUGAAUGCCGGCGGAUACUGUCGGGCUAGAGUCCGGAAGAGGCGAGUGGAAUUCCUGGUGUAGCGGUGAAAUGCGCAGAUAUCAGGAGGAACACCUACGGCGAAGGCAGCUCGCUGGGACGGUACUGACGCUGAGACGCGAAAGCGUGGGGAGCAAACAGG
Molecule: ribosomal RNA, 253 nt
Filed under: uncultured bacterium
Lineage: Bacteria
Description: partial 16S ribosomal RNA
Rfam family: Bacterial small subunit ribosomal RNA
Source: RNAcentral